Molecule: small RNA, 28 nt
Filed under: Bombyx mori (domestic silkworm)
Lineage: Eukaryota; Metazoa; Arthropoda; Insecta; Lepidoptera; Bombycidae
Description: ovarian small RNA-7597
Source: RNAcentral
UCGCUCUAAUCACUCCACGGCAGCGCGC